This 1341-nucleotide ribosomal RNA is filed under the name uncultured bacterium. Its description in RNAcentral is "partial 16S ribosomal RNA". It matches the Rfam family "Bacterial small subunit ribosomal RNA", at positions 28 to 1381 of the family's 1533-position model. The record is from RNAcentral.
GACGAACUCUGGCGGCGUGCUUAACACAUGCAAGUCGAACGGUAAGGCUCCAGCUUGCUGGGGUACACGAGUGGCGAACGGGUGAGUAACACGUGGGUGACCUGCCCUGCACUUCGGGAUAAGCCUGGGAAACUGGGUCUAAUACCGGAUAGGACCGCACCGUGAGGGUGUGGUGGAAAGUUUUUUCGGUGUGGGAUGGGCCCGCGGCCUAUCAGCUUGUUGGUGGGGUAAUGGCCUACCAAGGCGGCGACGGGUAGCCGGCCUGAGAGGGUGGACGGCCACAUUGGGACUGAGACACGGCCCAGACUCCUACGGGAGGCAGCAGUGGGGAAUAUUGCACAAUGGGCGGAAGCCUGAUGCAGCGACGCCGCGUGGGGGAUGACGGCCUUCGGGUUGUAAACUCCUUUCACCAUCGACGAAGGGUUUCUGACGGUAGAUGGAGAAGAAGCACCGGCUAACUACGUGCCAGCAGCCGCGGUAAUACGUAGGGUGCGAGCGUUGUCCGGAAUUACUGGGCGUAAAGAGCUCGUAGGUGGUUUGUCGCGUCGUCUGUGAAAUUCCGGGGCUUAACUCCGGGCGUGCAGGCGAUACGGGCAUAACUUGAGUACUGUAGGGGAGACUGGAAUUCCUGGUGUAGCGGUGAAAUGCGCAGAUAUCAGGAGGAACACCGGUGGCGAAGGCGGGUCUCUGGGCAGUAACUGACGCUGAGGAGCGAAAGCAUGGGGAGCGAACAGGAUUAGAUACCCUGGUAGUCCAUGCCGUAAACGGUGGGCGCUAGGUGUGGGUUUCCUUCCACGGGAUCCGUGCCGUAGCUAACGCAUUAAGCGCCCCGCCUGGGGAGUACGGCCGCAAGGCUAAAACUCAAAGGAAUUGACGGGGGCCCGCACAAGCGGCGGAGCAUGUGGAUUAAUUCGAUGCAACGCGAAGAACCUUACCUGGGCCUGACAUAUACAGGAUCGCGCCAGAGAUGGUGUUUCCCUUGUGGCUUGUAUACAGGUGGUGCAUGGUUGUCGUCAGCUCGUGUCGUGAGAUGUUGGGUUAAGUCCCGCAACGAGCGCAACCCUUGUCUUAUGUUGCCAGCACGUUGUGGUGGGGACUCGUAAGAAACUGCCGGGGUUAACUCGGAGGAAGGUGGGGAUGACGUCAAAUCAUCAUGCCCCUUAUGUCCAGGGCUUCACACAUGCUACAAUGGUCGGUACAGUGGGUUGCCAGUCCGUGAGGGCGAGCUAAUCCCGCAAAGCCGGUCUCAGUUCGGAUCGGGGUCUGCAACUCGACCCCGUGAAGUCGGAGUCGCUAGUAAUCGCAGAUCAGCAACGCUGCGGUGAAUACGUUCCCGGGCCU